Molecule: ribosomal RNA, 492 nt
Filed under: uncultured bacterium
Lineage: Bacteria
Description: partial 16S ribosomal RNA
Rfam family: Bacterial small subunit ribosomal RNA
Source: RNAcentral
AGUGAACGCUGGCGGUAGGCCUAACACAUGCAAGUCGAACGGCAGCACAGUAAGAGCUUGCUCUUACGGGUGGCGAGUGGCGGACGGGUGAGGAAUACAUCGGAAUCUACUUUUUCGUGGGGGAUAACGUAGGGAAACUUACGCUAAUACCGCAUACGACCUACGGGUGAAAGCAGGGGAUCUUCGGACCUUGCGCGAUUGAAUGAGCCGAUGUCGGAUUAGCUAGUUGGCGGGGUAAAGGCCCACCAAGGCGACGAUCCGUAGCUGGUCUGAGAGGAUGAUCAGCCACACUGGAACUGAGACACGGUCCAGACUCCUACGGGAGGCAGCAGUGGGGAAUAUUGGACAAUGGGCGCAAGCCUGACCCAGCCAUACCGCGUGGGUGAAGAAGGCCUUCGGGUUGUAAAGCCCUUUUGUUGGGAAAGAAAAGCAGCAGGUUAAUACCCCGCUGUUCUGACGGUACCCAAAGAAUAAGCACCGGCUAACUACGUG